AGUCGUACGCUUCUUUUUCCACCGGAGCUUGCUCCACCGGAAAAAGAAGAGUGGCGAACGGGUGAGUAACACGUGGGUAACCUGCCCAUCAGAAGGGGAUAACACUUGGAAACAGGUGCUAAUACCGUAUAACAAUCGAAACCGCAUGGUUUUGAUUUGAAAGGCGCUUUCGGGUGUCGCUGAUGGAUGGACCCGCGGUGCAUUAGCUAGUUGGUGAGGUAACGGCUCACCAAGGCCACGAUGCAUAGCCGACCUGAGAGGGUGAUCGGCCACAUUGGGACUGAGACACGGCCCAAACUCCUACGGGAGGCAGCAGUAGGGAAUCUUCGGCAAUGGACGAAAGUCUGACCGAGCAACGCCGCGUGAGUGAAGAAGGUUUUCGGAUCGUAAAACUCUGUUGUUAGAGAAGAACAAGGAUGAGAGUAACUGUUCAUCCCUUGACGGUAUCUAACCAGAAAGCCACGGCUAACUACGUGCCAGCAGCCGCGGUAAUACGUAGGUGGCAAGCGUUGUCCGGAUUUAUUGGGCGUAAAGCGAGCGCAGGCGGUUUCUUAAGUCUGAUGUGAAAGCCCCCGGCUCAACCGGGGAGGGUCAUUGGAAACUGGGAGACUUGAGUGCAGAAGAGGAGAGUGGAAUUCCAUGUGUAGCGGUGAAAUGCGUAGAUAUAUGGAGGAACACCAGUGGCGAAGGCGGCUCUCUGGUCUGUAACUGACGCUGAGGCUCGAAAGCGUGGGGAGCAAACAGGAUUAGAUACCCUGGUAGUCCACGCCGUAAACGAUGAGUGCUAAGUGUUGGAGGGUUUCCGCCCUUCAGUGCUGCAGCUAACGCAUUAAGCACUCCGCCUGGGGAGUACGACCGCAAGGUUGAAACUCAAAGGAAUUGACGGGGGCCCGCACAAGCGGUGGAGCAUGUGGUUUAAUUCGAAGCAACGCGAAGAACCUUACCAGGUCUUGACAUCCUUUGACCACUCUAGAGAUAGAGCUUCCCCUUCGGGGGCAAAGUGACAGGUGGUGCAUGGUUGUCGUCAGCUCGUGUCGUGAGAUGUUGGGUUAAGUCCCGCAACGAGCGCAACCCUUAUUGUUAGUUGCCAUCAUUUAGUUGGGCACUCUAGCAAGACUGCCGGUGACAAACCGGAGGAAGGUGGGGAUGACGUCAAAUCAUCAUGCCCCUUAUGACCUGGGCUACACACGUGCUACAAUGGGAAGUACAACGAGUCGCGAAGUCGCGAGGCUAAGCUAAUCUCUUAAAGCUUCUCUCAGUUCGGAUUGUAGGCUGCAACUCGCCUACAUGAAGCCGGAAUCGCUAGUAAUCGCGGAUCAGCACGCCGCGGUGAAUACGUUCCCGGGCCUUGUACACACCGCCCGUCACACCACGAGAGUUUGUAACACCCGAAGUCGGUGAGGUAACCUUUGGAG
This 1415-nucleotide ribosomal RNA is filed under the name Enterococcus durans. Its description in RNAcentral is "bacterial SSU rRNA". It matches the Rfam family "Bacterial small subunit ribosomal RNA". The record is from RNAcentral. Lineage: Bacteria; Bacillati; Bacillota; Bacilli; Lactobacillales; Enterococcaceae.